AUGGCUUCCCACCCGUCGCCGCCGCCGGCACACCCCAUACCACCCGCUCCCACCACCAUAAGCGACCUCGACGACGACCUGCUCCGGGAGAUCUUCCUCCGCCUCCCGAACUUCCCCAGCCUCGCCUCUGCCGCCCUCACCUGCUCCGGCUUCCUCGGCGCCGUCCGUUCGUCCCGCGCCUUCCGCCGCCGCUUCCGCGCGCUCCACGCACCCCCGCUCCGCCCUCGCUUCCUCGCACACACAAUAAUGGCCUUCCCCACCUCACGGCGGCCCUUCGCCGGAUUCACCCACCUCCUAGACGACGACAAUUCUGACUGGCGGGUCGAUUUCUCCGAUCCUCCGGCCUACAAUGGCGGCGCCAUGGCCAUCAAACACCCGAGCAUCAAGCAGGGAGUUCGGUACAACCCCGAAACGACGGCUCUGUUUCUCCGCCCCAAGGAUCAUCAUGACAUGCCCGACGGCACCUCCCUUGGGUUCCACACAUUCUGCUCCGAAGAGGAUCAGAGGCCGUCCCGUGUGGUAUGUGUCCGUCAAGACUACUCAUGGGAUAGGCUACGCAUCGCUGUCUUCUCAUCGGACACCAUGGAGUGGCAGAUUUUUCCGGAGAUUGCGACGCUGCUGCCUCAGGGCUUCAGGUGCACAGCCUGCACCGUGCUGGAUUGGUUUAUCUAUUGGCAAACCGAGUCCAUGCUCGGGGUAUAUGUCAGCGAGUACAUUUUCGUGCUCAAAACCGAUUCAUUUCAGUUCUCUCGAAUGGAUCUGCCGCCGCCCUUGAGAAUGGUACACCAAAAAUUUAAGAUUGGUCAGACCACUGAUGGGAAGCUCUGUAUCGUAAAUGAGAAGGAAUGCACACUUUCUGUUUGGAUCUUGACAGCGGGCGAUGACGGCGAUGAGAGAUUUGUGCUGCACAAGAUGUUCCCGUUGCACGCUAGCUUUAUGGAGGUCACCAGCUGCUCAGUGGAAGAUACAAUCUCAGUGCGGCUUAUGACGGUUUUCAAUGGUUUUGUAUACUUUGCACUUCGCCCAUGGAAAAAUUACGUGGAUCAGUUCAAAUCCCCGGAGUGGUUCCUGUCCUUGUCUCUGGAAACAGCGGAGCUGAAGCAGCAUCUGAAGAAUAGAAAGCGACCUAGCUUCCACGUCCAUCCCUACUCGGCCUGGCCUCCUUCUAUGGAAUACAUCUCGGAGGAUUCAAAAUCCGAGGUUACUGGAAAUGUUGGUCUUAAGAGUACAGAAAAUGAUUCAUCAGUCCUUAUAAAAGCACUACAAUCAUAUAAAGAAGCUUUGAUUAAGGAUGGUGACGCAAAUGUUGCAGAGAUAGAGGCCUUCUCACUUUGUAUUGACACUGAAGAUGAGAAGAAUUCUCUUGUGAGGAAAAUUAUUGCUUUAGAUGAACUGUUAAUAACUGUGAGAGAUCGUGUCUUGAGGGCGGGUGCAGACUCUGAAUUCGCAGACUGUCAAUUCUACAGACAGAAGAUCGAGAUCAAAACAGAGAGCUGGUGGCAAAUGUGCAAGGGGAAGUUAUGGAGAGCUUUCUGCGCUAGCUGA
Molecule: ribosomal RNA, 1545 nt
Filed under: Triticum aestivum (bread wheat)
Lineage: Eukaryota; Viridiplantae; Streptophyta; Magnoliopsida; Poales; Poaceae
Description: partial small subunit ribosomal RNA
Source: RNAcentral